This 253-nucleotide ribosomal RNA is filed under the name uncultured bacterium. Its description in RNAcentral is "partial 16S ribosomal RNA". It matches the Rfam family "Bacterial small subunit ribosomal RNA", at positions 524 to 776 of the family's 1533-position model. The record is from RNAcentral.
UACGAAGGGGGCUAGCGUUGCUCGGAAUCACUGGGCGUAAAGGGUGCGUAGGUGGCGCCGUAAGUCGGGUGUGAAAUUUCGGAGCUUAACUCCGAAACUGCAUUCGAUACUGCGGUGCUUGAGGACUGGAGAGGAGACUGGAAUUUACGGUGUAGCAGUGAAAUGCGUAGAGAUCGUAAGGAAGACCAGUGGCGAAGGCGGGUCUCUGGACAGUUCCUGACACUGAUGCACGAAGGCCAGGGGAGCAAACGGG